CAGACGAGUGCUUGGGCGCAGCAUUUCAGCUGACGUUGGUGCUCUAGAAGGUAGGGCCACCCUGAUGUCAUGACUGCUGUGUCCUCCUUCUUGCUGUUUAUCAGAAGUGAGAUCCAGCAGAUGAGUACUGAAGUUCUUUGGAGUAAUCUUAUCAAGAAGACACACAGUAAGGGCAUUUGACCCCACCUGUACCGGCCCCCCACCUAUUAAUCCAAAGGCCACCGGAAGAAAAAGAGCACACUGUGGGAUGGAGCUACUACCUCGUGACCGACCUAAAAGCCUUUAGACAGUCUGAUGGUUUCUUUUUUGAUUUCUGAGCAUUUUGUUCUAUUUUGCACCAUGGAGCACCCGCUUUUGUUUGAUUUCUUUCAUUUGAUUAAAUGGGGAUGACUGGG
Molecule: long non-coding RNA, 395 nt
Organism: Polypterus senegalus (gray bichir)
Lineage: Eukaryota; Metazoa; Chordata; Cladistia; Polypteriformes; Polypteridae
Exons: 3
Source: RefSeq, a predicted model, not a curated record